ACCCGCUGAAUUUAAGCAUAUAAGUAAGCGGAGGAUGAGAAACUAAAUAGGAUUCCCUUAGUAAUGGCGAACGAACAGGGAAGAGCUCAGAUUGUAUAUCGGGGCCUCUGGCUUCGAAUUGUAGUCUCGAAAUGCAACGCCAACGGAGGCGCAGAUUUAAGCCCCUUGAAAGAGAGCGCCGACGAGGGUGAGAGUCCCGUUUGUCAAUCUGCAGCCCUCCGUACACGGCUUGCACUUGCAGAGUCACGUUCCUCGGGAUUGGAGCGCAAAGUGGGUGGUAAAUUUCAUCUAAAGCUAAAUACGUGUUUGAGACCGAUAGCACACAAGUACCAUGAGGGAAAGAUGAAAAGGACUUUGAAAAGAGAGUUAAAAGUGCCUGAAAUUGCUGCAAGGGAACGGAUGGAACCAAGUCCACACGGUGAGAUUGUUGGGUGGAGGCGAAGGGAGUUGCACUUUCAACGCAAGUGUGAGUGUGAGUUCUGGUCGUCUCUCGCCCGGUGGUUCUUGCCGUGGGGGUCAUUGGUGAUUGGUGGCCGAGGAAUACCUGCAAAGGCAUGGUAGCCCGUCUCCGGGUGGGUGAACGCGUUUGUUAGUACUCGGCCGCUGAUCAUGUGAGUGGUGUCCGGUAACCGGCGAACGACUUCGGUGGCCCAGCCGCUUGGGUUGAUCGUGGGUCCUGACACACGCUACGACCAAAUGGUUCUUUCCGACCCGUCUUGAAACACGGACCAAGG
RNAcentral lists this ribosomal RNA (734 nucleotides) under Margalefidinium polykrikoides. RNAcentral describes it as "partial 24S large subunit ribosomal RNA". It matches the Rfam family "Eukaryotic large subunit ribosomal RNA", at positions 23 to 671 of the family's 3401-position model. The record is from RNAcentral. Lineage: Eukaryota; Dinophyceae; Gymnodiniales; Gymnodiniaceae.